AGAGUUUGAUCAUGGCUCAGAACUAACGCUGGCGGCGUGCCUAACACAUGCAAGUCGCACGAGAAAGUCUUCGGAUGAGUAAAGUGGCGCAAGGGUGAGUAACACGUGAGUAAUCUGCCCCUAUGUUGGGGAUAACCAGCCGAAAGGUUGGCUAAUACCGAAUGGCGGCGCGGGAUUUCGGUUUUCGCGUCUAAAGAUGGCCUCUAUUUAUAAGCUAUCGCAAAGGGAUGAGCUCGCGUUGCAUUAGCUAGUUGGUGUGGUAAUGACUCACCAAGGCUACGAUGCAUAGCUGGUCUGAGAGGACGACCAGUCACACUGGAACUGAGACACGGUCCAGACUCCUACGGGAGGCAGCAGUGAGGAAUAUUGCGCAAUGGGGGAAACCCUGACGCAGCGACGCCGCGUGGAGGAUGAAGGCCUUCGGGUUGUAAACUCCUGUCGGGUGGGACGAAACUUCGGUGGGCUAAUAUCCCGCCGGAUUGACGGUACCGCCAAAGGAAGCCCCGGCUAACUCUGUGCCAGCAGCCGCGGUAAUACAGAGGGGGCGAGCGUUGUUCGGAAUUAUUGGGCGUAAAGGGCGUGUAGGCGGCUUACUAAGUCAGAAGUGAAAGCCCCCGGUUCAACCGGGGAAGGGCUUUUGAAACUGGUAGGCUUGAGCGCGGGAGAGGAAAGCGGAAUUCCCAGUGUAGCGGUGAAAUGCGUAGAUAUUGGGAAGAACACCAGAGGCGAAGGC
This 733-nucleotide ribosomal RNA is filed under the name uncultured bacterium. RNAcentral describes it as "bacterial SSU rRNA". It matches the Rfam family "Bacterial small subunit ribosomal RNA", at positions 8 to 722 of the family's 1533-position model. The record is from RNAcentral.